Molecule: ribosomal RNA, 495 nt
Filed under: uncultured bacterium
Lineage: Bacteria
Description: partial 16S ribosomal RNA
Rfam family: Bacterial small subunit ribosomal RNA
Source: RNAcentral
GAUGAACGCUGGCGGCGUGCUUAACACAUGCAAGUCGAACGAAGCACCUCUCCCGAAGAUUGACACAGCUUGCUGUAGUUUGAUUCAUUUUAGGUGACUGAGUGGCGGACGUUUGAUUAACGCGUGUGUAACCUGCCUCAUAGAGGGGGACAACAGUUGGAAACGACUGCUAAUACCGCAUAUUAAGAAGAAUUCUCAUGUUUUCUUCUUUAAAGAUUUAUCGCUAUGAGAUGGACCCGCUUCUGAUUAGCUAGUUGGUAAGGUAACGGCUUACCAAGGCGACGAUCAGUAGCAGGCUUGAGAGAGUGAACGGCCACAUUGGGAGUGAGACACGGACCAAACUCCUACGGGAGGAAGCAGUGGGGAAUAUUGCAAAAUGGGGGAAACCCAGAUGCAGCGACGCCGCGUGAGUGAAGAAGUAUUUAGGUAAGUAAAGCUCUAUCAGAAGGGAAGAUAAUGACGGUACCUGACUAAGAAGCACCGGCUAACUACGUG